GAAGAAGAAGAACGAAGA
RNAcentral lists this small RNA (18 nucleotides) under Arabidopsis thaliana (thale cress). Its description in RNAcentral is "ATSL118170". Lineage: Eukaryota; Viridiplantae; Streptophyta; Magnoliopsida; Brassicales; Brassicaceae. The record is from RNAcentral.